UACGUAGGUGGCAAGCGUUGUCCGGAUUUACUGGGCGUAAAGAGCGCGCAGGCGGUCGUUCAAGUCGCGUGUGAAAGCCCCCGGCUCAACUGGGGAGGGUCACGCGAUACUGAUCGACUCGAAGGCAGGAGAGGGUAGUGGAAUUCCUGGUGUAGCGGUGAAAUGCGUAGAGAUCAGGAAGAACACCAGUGGCGAAGGCGGAUCUCUGGGCCUUGCCUGACGCUGAGGCGCGAAAGCUAGGGGAGCGAACAGG
RNAcentral lists this ribosomal RNA (253 nucleotides) under uncultured bacterium. RNAcentral's name for it is "partial 16S ribosomal RNA". It matches the Rfam family "Bacterial small subunit ribosomal RNA", at positions 524 to 776 of the family's 1533-position model. The record is from RNAcentral.